AGAGUUUGAUCCUGGCUCAGAUUGAACGCUGGCGGCAUGCUUUACACAUGCAAGUCGAACGGCAGCACGGGGGCAACCCUGGUGGCGAGUGGCGAACGGGUGAGUAAUACAUCGGAACGUGCCCAGUAGUGGGGGAUAGCCCGGCGAAAGCCGGAUUAAUACCGCAUACGACCUACGGGUGAAAGCGGGGGAUCGCAAGACCUCGCGCUAUUGGAGCGGCCGAUGUCAGAUUAGGUUGUUGGUGAGGUAAAAGCUCACCAAGCCGACGAUCUGUAGCUGGUCUGAGAGGACGACCAGCCACACUGGGACUGAGACACGGCCCAGACUCCUACGGGAGGCAGCAGUGGGGAAUUUUGGACAAUGGGGGCAACCCUGAUCCAGCCAUGCCGCGUGCGGGAAGAAGGCCUUCGGGUUGUAAACCGCUUUUGUCAGGGAAGAAAUCUUCUGGGCUAAUACCCCAGAGGG
RNAcentral lists this ribosomal RNA (465 nucleotides) under uncultured bacterium. Its description in RNAcentral is "bacterial SSU rRNA". It matches the Rfam family "Bacterial small subunit ribosomal RNA", at positions 8 to 471 of the family's 1533-position model. The record is from RNAcentral.